This 488-nucleotide ribosomal RNA is filed under the name uncultured Lachnospiraceae bacterium. RNAcentral's name for it is "bacterial SSU rRNA". It matches the Rfam family "Bacterial small subunit ribosomal RNA", at positions 8 to 507 of the family's 1533-position model. Lineage: Bacteria; Bacillati; Bacillota; Clostridia; Lachnospirales; Lachnospiraceae. The record is from RNAcentral.
AGAGUUUGAUCCUGGCUCAGGAUGAACGCUGGCGGCGUGCUUAACACAUGCAAGUCGAACGGAGCUGUAUUGAAACCUAGUGAUAUACAGCUUAGUGGCGGACGGGUGAGUAACGCGUGGGCAACCUGCCGCAUACCGGGGGAUAACACUUAGAAAUAGGUGCUAAUACCGCAUAAGCGCACAGAGCCGCAUGGCUUGGUGUGAAAAACUCCGGUGGUAUGCGAUGGGCCCGCGUCUGAUUAGCUAGUUGGCGGGGUAGAGGCCCACCAAGGCGACGAUCAGUAGCCGGCCUGAGAGGGCGGACGGCCACAUUGGGACUGAGACACGGCCCAGACUCCUACGGGAGGCAGCAGUGGGGGAUAUUGCACAAUGGGGGAAACCCUGAUGCAGCGACGCCGCGUGAGUGAAGAAGUCAUUCGUGAUGUAAAGCUCUAUCAGCAGGGAAGAAAAUGACGGUACCUGACUAAGAAGCCCCGGCUAACUACGUA